Molecule: ribosomal RNA, 445 nt
Filed under: uncultured bacterium
Lineage: Bacteria
Description: partial 16S ribosomal RNA
Rfam family: Bacterial small subunit ribosomal RNA
Source: RNAcentral
ACCAGACUCCUACGGGAGGCAGCAGUGGGGAAUAUUGCACAAUGGGGGAAGCCCUGAUGCAGCGACGCCGCGUGAGCGAAGAAGUAUUUCGGUAUGUAAAGCUCUAUCAGCAGGGAAGAAAUUGACGGUACCUGAGUAAGAAGCUCCGGCUAAAUACGUGCCAGCAGCCGCGGUAAUACGUAUGGAGCAAGCGUUAUCCGGAUUUACUGGGUGUAAAGGGAGCGUAGGCGGCCUGCCAAGUCUGAUGUGAAAUACCGGGGCUCAACCCCGGGGCUGCAUUGGAAACUGAGCAGCUAGAGUGCAGGAGAGGUAAGUGGAAUUCCUAGUGUAGCGGUGAAAUGCGUAGAUAUUAGGAGGAACACCAGUGGCGAAGGCGGUCUGCUGGACAGCAACUGACGCUGAGGCGCGAAAGCGUGGGGAGCAAACAGGAUUAGAUACCCCCGUA